ACUUUCUCAAUAUGGCAUAUACCAACACAGAUGAGCUUUCAUUCGGAAAUGUAUAUGCCAUUUGGAAUCAAAGAUUCACUUUAUUGAAUACUUUGAUGCUGAGGAGACACAAGAGUGCGACUGGGAGUUUCCUGUACAGGUCCAACUACUGAGGACCCAACGACAUUUCUCACUAGCACAGAAGUACGUUCAGAGACUACAUCCAUGCACAUCCCUUCUUCUGCCCAGCCGACACAACAGCCAAAUUAUCCUGUAACCACUGUUUCUCAGCAUGCCAUACGUACACAGAACGCAGUUUCCCAGCCAACACAAAGACCAAAUCAUGCCGAAACCAAUGUUUCUCAGAGCAUGGCUUACCAAAUGACAAGGCUGGCACAAAGGAGGACCACUGGAACUACAGGUGCGUGGUACGAGGACCCUCUGAACCUUGCAAUGGUCUGCCUAGGCUGUGGUGUGGGUAUCAUCGCCUUGGUGAUGUUUGGCUACUGCGGUCACAGACGCAAACGACAAAAACAGCAAGUGGCCCAAGCUCCACAGGAUGGAGAUGAAGAAGAACCAGUUCAACCACAAGGCAAAUGUGACAAAAACAAUUGA
Branchiostoma floridae (Florida lancelet) is the source of this 594-nucleotide long non-coding RNA. RefSeq lists it as uncharacterized. The record is from RefSeq and is a predicted model, not a curated record. The transcript has 3 exons. Lineage: Eukaryota; Metazoa; Chordata; Leptocardii; Amphioxiformes; Branchiostomatidae.